UCUUGCGCAAUGGGCGAAAGCCUGACGCAGCCAUGCCGCGUGUAUGAUGAAGGUCUUAGGAUUGUAAAAUACUUUCACCGGUGAAGAUAAUGACUGUAGCCGGAGAAGAAGCCCCGGCUAACCUCGUGCCAGCAGCCGCGGUAAUACGAAGGGGGCUAGCGUUGCUCGGAAUUACUGGGCGUAAAGGGAGCGUAGGCGGACAUUUAAGUCAGAGGUGAAAUCCCGGAGCUUAACUUCGGAACUGCCUUUGAUACUGGGUGUCUUGAGUGUGAGAGAGGUAUGUGGAACUCCGAGUGUAGAGGUGAAAUUCGUAGAUAUUCGGAAGAACACCAGUGGCGAAGGCGACAUACUGGCUCAUUACUGACGCCGAGGCUCGAAAGCGUGGGGAGCAAACAG
RNAcentral lists this ribosomal RNA (396 nucleotides) under uncultured bacterium. RNAcentral's name for it is "bacterial SSU rRNA". It matches the Rfam family "Bacterial small subunit ribosomal RNA", at positions 362 to 775 of the family's 1533-position model. The record is from RNAcentral.